RNAcentral lists this ribosomal RNA (1650 nucleotides) under Klebsiella aerogenes. RNAcentral describes it as "bacterial LSU rRNA". It matches the Rfam family "Bacterial large subunit ribosomal RNA", at positions 1 to 1685 of the family's 2925-position model. The record is from RNAcentral. Lineage: Bacteria; Pseudomonadati; Pseudomonadota; Gammaproteobacteria; Enterobacterales; Enterobacteriaceae.
GGGUUGUGAGGUUAAGCGACUAAGCGUACACGGUGGAUGCCCUGGCAGUCAGAGGCGAUGAAGGACGUGCUAAUCUGCGAAAAGCGUCGGUAAGGUGAUAUGAACCGUUACAGCCGGCGAUGUCCGAAUGGGGAAACCCAGUGCAAUUCGUUGCACUAUCGUUAACUGAAUACAUAGGUUAACGAGGCGAACCGGGGGAACUGAAACAUCUAAGUACCCCGAGGAAAAGAAAUCAACCGAGAUUCCCCCAGUAGCGGCGAGCGAACGGGGAGCAGCCCAGAGUCUGAAUCAGCUUGUGUGUUAGUGGAACGGUCUGGAAAGUCCGACGGUACAGGGUGAUAGUCCCGUACACCAAAAUGCACAGGUUGUGAACUCGAAGAGUAGGGCGGGACACGUGGUAUCCUGUCUGAAUAUGGGGGGACCAUCCUCCAAGGCUAAAUACUCCUGACUGACCGAUAGUGAACCAGUACCGUGAGGGAAAGGCGAAAAGAACCCCGGCGAGGGGAGUGAAAAAGAACCUGAAACCGUGUACGUACAAGCAGUGGGAGCACCUUCGGGUGUGACUGCGUACCUUUUGUAUAAUGGGUCAGCGACUUAUAUUCUGUAGCAAGGUUAACCGUAUAGGGGAGCCGCAGGGAAACCGAGUCUUAACUGGGCGUUAAGUUGCAGGGUAUAGACCCGAAACCCGGUGAUCUAGCCAUGGGCAGGUUGAAGGUUGGGUAACACUAACUGGAGGACCGAACCGACUAAUGUUGAAAAAUUAGCGGAUGACUUGUGGCUGGGGGUGAAAGGCCAAUCAAACCGGGAGAUAGCUGGUUCUCCCCGAAAGCUAUUUAGGUAGCGCCUCGUGAAUUCAUCUUCGGGGGUAGAGCACUGUUUCGGCUAGGGGGUCAUCCCGACUUACCAACCCGAUGCAAACUACGAAUACCGAAGAAUGUUAUCACGGGAGACACACGGCGGGUGCUAACGUCCGUCGUGAAGAGGGAAACAACCCAGACCGCCAGCUAAGGUCCCAAAGUCACAGUUAAGUGGGAAACGAUGUGGGAAGGCACAGACAGCCAGGAUGUUGGCUUAGAAGCAGCCAUCAUUUAAAGAAAGCGUAAUAGCUCACUGGUCGAGUCGGCCUGCGCGGAAGAUGUAACGGGGCUAAACUGUGCACCGAAGCUGCGGCAGCGACACUAUGUGUUGUUGGGUAGGGGAGCGUUCUGUAAGCCUGCGAAGGUGGCCUGUGAGGGUUGCUGGAGGUAUCAGAAGUGCGAAUGCUGACAUAAGUAACGAUAAUGCGGGUGAAAAGCCCGCACGCCGGAAGACCAAGGGUUCCUGUCCAACGUUAAUCGGGGCAGGGUGAGUCGACCCCUAAGGCGAGGCCGAAAGGCGUAGUCGAUGGGAAACAGGUUAAUAUUCCUGUACUUGGUGUUACUGCGAAGGGGGGACGGAGAAGGCUAUGUUAGCCGGGCGACGGUUGUCCCGGUUUAAGCAUGUAGGCGGAGGUUCCAGGUAAAUCCGGUACCUUUUAACGCUGAGGUGUGAUGACGAGGCACUACGGUGCUGAAGUAACAAAUGCCCUGCUUCCAGGAAAAGCCUCUAAGCAUCAGGUAACAUUGAAUCGUACCCCAAACCGACACAGGUGGUCAGGUAGAGAAUACCAAG